GUGGCGAACGGGUGAGUAACACGUGGGUGAUCUGCCCUGCACUCUGGGAUAAGCCUGGGAAACUGGGUCUAAUACCGGAUAUGACCAACUGUCGCAUGGUGGUUGGUGGAAAGCUUUUGCGGUGUGGGAUGGGCCCGCGGCCUAUCAGCUUGUUGGUGGGGUAAUGGCCUACCAAGGCGACGACGGGUAGCCGACCUGAGAGGGUGAUCGGCCACACUGGGACUGAGACACGGCCCAGACUCCUACGGGAGGCAGCAGUGGGGAAUAUUGCACAAUGGGCGCAAGCCUGAUGCAGCGACGCCGCGUGAGGGAUGACGGCCUUCGGGUUGUAAACCUCUUUCACCAGGGACGAAGCGUGAGUGACGGUACCUGGAGAAGAAGCACCGGCCAACUACGUGCCAGCAGCCGCGGUAAUACGUAGGGUGCGAGCGUUGUCCGGAAUUACUGGGCGUAAAGAGCUCGUAGGCGGUUUGUCGCGUCGUCUGUGAAAUUCUGCAACUCAAUUGCAGGCGUGCAGGCGAUACGGGCAGACUUGAGUACUACAGGGGAGACUGGAAUUCCUGGUGUAGCGGUGAAAUGCGCAGAUAUCAGGAGGAACACCGGUGGCGAAGGCGGGUCUCUGGGUAGUAACUGACGCUGAG
This 641-nucleotide ribosomal RNA is filed under the name Gordonia sp. I15A-00834. RNAcentral describes it as "bacterial SSU rRNA". It matches the Rfam family "Bacterial small subunit ribosomal RNA", at positions 95 to 750 of the family's 1533-position model. The record is from RNAcentral. Lineage: Bacteria; Bacillati; Actinomycetota; Actinomycetes; Mycobacteriales; Gordoniaceae.